GCCUUACCAGCCUCAAUCACUCUACCUUCCCAUCAGUCACCCGCCUGCUUUUCAAACCAUCACCAACUCAGUCAAGUUUACACAAUGGUUCAGGUUCAGAAUCAGAGUGAUGAAGCUUCAACAUUUGAUUUGCAGCAGCUUCAAUAUGCUCAAUGAUGGGAGGGCAAAAAUUGGUAUCCAACUGUAUUAUCCACCUCUUAAGAACUUCUUCUUGACUGCCAUUCAACAUUUGAUUGAUUGGAACCCUCAUUGUUCUUGAUUUCCUUCUGUUAAUUUGUCCAAUCAAGGUUGUAUAUGGAACUCCAAAUUCUCGCGCCAUUUUUGUGAUUUUCAAUUUUGGAUUGGAUUUUAGCAUGUCAACAGCCUUUUGAAGCUGAUCUUUAGUGUAUUUAGAAGAUUUAGACAUGGUUGUGGUGAUUAAUGAAUAUUUGAAGAUGAAGAAUGAUGAUAAUUAACAAUACUGCCGUUGCGGUGAUAUUACCAUUGCGGUGGGGCGCACUCACUAAUGGGAGGUAGUGAGAUGCGCUUGGCACGGUUAGUACUUUUCUCCCACUCUGACGAGUUUGGGAA
RNAcentral lists this small RNA (570 nucleotides) under Histoplasma capsulatum var. duboisii H88. RNAcentral's name for it is "Histoplasma capsulatum H88 hypothetical RNA". Lineage: Eukaryota; Fungi; Ascomycota; Eurotiomycetes; Onygenales; Ajellomycetaceae. The record is from RNAcentral.